This 87-nucleotide transfer RNA is filed under the name Bradyrhizobium sp. ERR14. RNAcentral describes it as "tRNA-OTHER". Lineage: Bacteria; Pseudomonadati; Pseudomonadota; Alphaproteobacteria; Hyphomicrobiales; Nitrobacteraceae. The record is from RNAcentral.
GCACUUGAGAGAAGCCAAACGCACAAGACCCGUUCAGUUGCCCUCCGAAGGCAAAGGUCACACGUUCGAAUCGUGUCGGGUGCGCCA